This 524-nucleotide ribosomal RNA is filed under the name uncultured bacterium. RNAcentral's name for it is "partial 16S ribosomal RNA". It matches the Rfam family "Bacterial small subunit ribosomal RNA", at positions 28 to 523 of the family's 1533-position model. The record is from RNAcentral.
GACGAACGCUGGCGGCGUGCCUAAUACAUGCAAGUCGAACGAAGCUGUUUUAACUGGUGCUUGCACCGACUUAAACAACUGAGUGGCGAACGGGUGAGUAACACGUGGGUAACCUGCCCCAAAGCGGGGGAUAACAUUUGGAAACAGAUGCUAAUACCGCAUAACCACAGAAACCACAUGGUUUCUGUGUCAAAGAUGGUUUCGGCUAUCACUUUGGGAUGGACCCGCGGCGUAUUAGCUAGGUGGUAAGGUAAUGGCUUACCAAGGCAAUGAUACGUAGCCUAACUGAGAGGUUGAUCGGCCACAUUGGGACUGAGAAACGGCCCAAACUCCUACGGGAGGCAGCAGUAGGGAAUCUUCCAAAAUGGACGAAAGUCUGAUGGAGCAACGCCGCGGGAGUGAAGAAGGUUUUCGGAUCGUAAAACUCUGUUGUCAGAGAAGAACGUGUGCGAGAGUAACUGCUCGUGCAGUGACGGUAUCUGGCCAGAAAGCCACGGCUAACUACGUGCCAGCAGCCGCCGUAA